This 253-nucleotide ribosomal RNA is filed under the name uncultured bacterium. Its description in RNAcentral is "partial 16S ribosomal RNA". It matches the Rfam family "Bacterial small subunit ribosomal RNA", at positions 524 to 776 of the family's 1533-position model. The record is from RNAcentral.
UACGGGGGGGGCAAGCGUUGUUCGGAAUUACUGGGCGUAAAGGGCUCGUAGGCGGCCAACUAAGUCAGACGUGAAAUCCCUCGGCUUAACCGGGGAGCUGCGUCUGAUACUGGUUGGCUUGAGUCCGGGAGAGGGAUGUGGAAUUCCAGGUGUAGCGGUGAAAUGCGUAGAUAUCUGGAGGAACACCGGUGGCGAAGGCGGCAUCCUGGACCGGUAUUGACGCUGAGGAGCGAAAGCCAGGGGAGCAAACGGG